This 391-nucleotide unclassified non-coding RNA is filed under the name soil metagenome. RNAcentral describes it as "partial contains 5.8S ribosomal RNA, internal transcribed spacer 2, and large subunit ribosomal RNA". The stretch from base 1 to 122 matches the Rfam family "5.8S ribosomal RNA", at positions 35 to 154 of the family's 154-position model. The record is from RNAcentral.
GAUGAAGAACGUAGCGAAAUGCGAUACUUGGUGUGAAUUGCAGAAUCCCGUGAACCAUCGAGUCUUUGAACGCAAGUUGCGCCCGAAGCCAUUAGGCCGAGGGCACGCCUGCCUGGGCGUCACACGUCGUUGCCCCCCCAUCUACUCCUUCGGGAUUGCGGGGGGCGGAUGAUGGCCUCCCGUGCGCCUCGUCGCGCGGUUGGCAUAAAUGCCAAGUCUUCGGCGACGCACGCCACGACAAUCGGUGGUUGCGAAACCUCGGUUGCCCGUCGUGUGCGGUCGUCGCGCAUCGAGGGCUCGAAAAAAUUGUCGGGCUCCGGCUCGGCUUUCAACGCGACCCCAGGUCAGGCGGGGUUACCCGCUGAAUUUAAGCAUAUCAAUAAGCGGAGGA